UGUUAAAUAUUAAGCAUGGCUUGAUUCCCUGACUCUAGCUCAAAAGAAAAAAAAUGUUAAGUGACAUCCCAACUGUCUUAAAAAUGUUUACAGAAACCAUUAAAUGAAUGUGAGUAGUAGCUGAGGAAUGAUGAAAAAGUGAUGGUAAUGAUAUGGUGCAAGUGGAUGGAAAAAAUAUAUGUAUAAUGCUGAGAUUUUCAAAUGCAUGGAAAAUCUUAUUCUGUGGGCCUUGUCUGAAUUUUAAACUGAUACCAAGAAUAAAAAAAUAUAGUAGCACAAGUCCAUUGACACCUGGAGGGUCAGGCCUAGAAAGCUAACCUUCAAAGUGCAAAUUUUAACAAUGGAAUGUUUUAGCAGGGACUUAAGGACAAUCCUCUGUCUUUUUCUUGUUGAAAAGACCUAAGAUGUUCAGGAAGUAUUUAUUCCUGGCCAGAAUUAUUUCAGUUUCUUGGUAAAACAAAAAUAUUUAGCCACAAUUACCACCCACUCAUUCACAUACCCAGAACCAUUCUUAGGGGUGUUUGCUGGGAGAAAAAGCCCUAAUCUAUGUAUCAUGUAAUGGAACUCUUAUUUAUAAUCUAAGUUUUUUGAAUCCACUACUUUAAAUACCAAUAUGCACCUCUCUUAUCCCCUCCCUCUCCACCCAUCUACCCCAUACACCCCCAGUGAACCUAGGUAUUCUAAUGUCUUUGUGUUUUCUAAGCCUCAUGAAUAAGACUGUUGAAUACCACCUCCACCGGAUCAAAAUUAACACCUGGUGCACUUUCUACAGCACCUUUUUUCUUCUCCACAAGUGAGAGGAAUCUUGAUACUUUCAAG
Molecule: long non-coding RNA, 819 nt
Filed under: Homo sapiens (human)
Lineage: Eukaryota; Metazoa; Chordata; Mammalia; Primates; Hominidae
Description: HSALNT0092665
Source: RNAcentral